Armigeres subalbatus is the source of this 1774-nucleotide long non-coding RNA. RefSeq lists it as uncharacterized. NCBI's taxonomy places the organism in Eukaryota, Metazoa, Arthropoda, Insecta, Diptera, Culicidae. The record is from RefSeq and is a predicted model, not a curated record. The transcript is spliced from 3 exons.
AAUGAAUGACUGAAAUGUUUGCACAAUAAAGAAUUAUUCUACGACAAUUUUUCAUAUUGUAAUGAUAUGCUACGUUGUCUCGUUAUUUUUGAACGAUAUCAAUUCAAAAAUACAUAACUUCUUGAUACAAUAAAGAUCUCACAUGAUUUGUGGCAACAAUAAAUAAAAUUGUUAUGUUAUUUUUAUUUAUUGUUUAAAAUCUUAAAUUGAGCAGGUAGCAACACGUCAAAGUUGCAGUGCCAAGUUGUUCAUCGUCAUAAGUUCACCUUAUCGCAGACCUUGCAGACAGAUCGCAGCUGUUUAUUAAAAUUUUCUACCAUUAUUUUUUAAUUUUGUUAAAUUAUUUUCUUUUACUUCGUUUAAUUUAAGUAUUGCGUUGUGUGUCGUGAACAUCGAGCUAAAGCAUCACACAGUAAGACAUUCAUUGGAGCGUUGAACAAUUUGUGACCAAAGUAGCAUCGAGGAUUGCAAAAAGGUCAAUAUAAACGGAAGUGCCAACCUCAUCAUGGACAUUACCCGGAAAUCAAUGCAGCACUGCCAAAUAGCCUCGGGAACUGCAGCUCCGAAAUGGACUGAAGGUAAUGUUGAUCUCCGACCACGGACAAAUCAUCUGCAGUGCUUGAGGAUAUGAGCGACUAGGGUGAAAUGCCCCGAAUAUUGCACGUUUGUAAACCCAUUGCUCUCCCUGGAAAAGAGAAAAAUCAUCAAUCAUAUGUUGUCAAAGAACCUAUUCUACAACCAUGGGCUAUUUCCAACUGAAACGUUCCGCUACCCACUAUCCGCAAUGAUAAAUAAUACGUCGAUAUUUAUUGUACUUUAUAAAUGACGUAAGGUUCAAGAGCUAAAUUCAACAACAGCACAACAACAGGUUGUGCAUAACCGUUGCUUCCCUGGAGUAGAUAUAUUAUCUGGUAUUCUAAACAGCACAAGCCGAUAUCUCUAUACCCUUUGGUUCUUCGGAAAAAAAUCUGUGCCCGGGAUGGGGGAAUCAGUUGAGGUAACAUUCGUUUGAACACGGGAAAGAAUAAUUCAAUGCAAAUUUUUCAAAGCGACUUAUCUGAUGGGUCUGAUGGCGAUGAAAAUGAAAUUUCAGCACAAGGCGAUACCGGUUGGAGGUAUGUACGACGACACUGUCCUGGAGCCGGUUUCACCCUCUAGCAAGUAGGCAUUCUUGGGUUCUCAUUAGGACAAUCCUUAAAUCAACUUCGAUGCGUCGAUUCACAGUACCAAAAAGUUCACGGGUGUAGCCGCGUAUAACGAUGGACGACAGCCAGUUAACGACAACAUCGCUGCCGUGAACGAUUCCGUUUGGUAGUACCUACGUCGAUAUCACCCUGACGCGGAUCCACCGGUCCCGAAUAAUCGAUAAUAAUGCCACAACAAGUCAACAGUGGCAAUCCUUAAAUCAACUUGAAUAUGUCGAUUUAUAAAGAUAUCCCGGAUAGAGCGGAUAAGUCGAUAGACGGACAUCACAUCGUAGCCGUGAACGAUUUGAAUUCAUUGAAUACAUUAUGCAAGUUGUUUGGUACAGCACGAGCUGAAUAAUUAGAAUUAGAACUAAUAAACAAAGAACUAAUCAAAAAAGAAACAAUGGCAUAAAGUAAGUACGUGUAGUAAAGUCCUGCUUCUCCAGCUGAACAUAUAUUGUUAAUUACUUAAUAAUUUAAAUAAAAAUAAGAGUGACAUUGAUUACUUGACCAAUGUAAAGUUUGAAGUUGGAUUUUGUUACAUUUACCUACUUUUUGCCAUUGUAUUCUUUAAUUAAUUUAUUUAU